GUGCCUCGCAAGAGGAGCCUGGAGACAGGUGCUGCAUGGCUGUCGUCAGCUCGUGUCGUGAGAUGUUGGGUUAAGUCCCGCAACGAGCGCAACCCUUGUCUUUAGUUGCCAUCAUUCAGUUGGGCACUCUAAAGAGACUGCCGGUGUCAAACCGGAGGAAGGUGGGGAUGACGUCAAGUCCUCAUGGCCUUUAUGACCAGGGCUACACACGUACUACAAUGGCCGGUACAAAGGGCAGCCACUUAGCGAUAAGGAGCCAAUCCCGUAAAGCCGGUCUCAGUCCGGAUUGGAGUCUGCAACUCGACUCCAUGAAGUUGGAAUCGCUAGUAAUCGCAGAUCAGCACGCUGCGGUGAAUACGUUCCCGGGCCUU
RNAcentral lists this ribosomal RNA (371 nucleotides) under uncultured Desulfocapsa sp. RNAcentral's name for it is "bacterial SSU rRNA". It matches the Rfam family "Bacterial small subunit ribosomal RNA", at positions 1012 to 1382 of the family's 1533-position model. Lineage: Bacteria; Pseudomonadati; Thermodesulfobacteriota; Desulfobulbia; Desulfobulbales; Desulfocapsaceae. The record is from RNAcentral.